RNAcentral lists this ribosomal RNA (253 nucleotides) under uncultured bacterium. RNAcentral describes it as "partial 16S ribosomal RNA". It matches the Rfam family "Bacterial small subunit ribosomal RNA", at positions 524 to 776 of the family's 1533-position model. The record is from RNAcentral.
UACAGAGGGGGCAAGCGUUAUUCGGAAUUAUUGGGCGUAAAGGGCGCGUAGGCGGCCUGGCAAGUGGAAGGUGAAAUCCCUCGGCUUAACCGAGGAACUGCCCUCCAAACUGCUUGGCUUGAGACCGGGAGAGGUGAGUGGAAUUCCCAGUGUAGCGGUGAAAUGCGUAGAUAUUGGGAGGAACACCAGUGGCGAAGGCGGCUCACUGGACCGGAACUGACGCUGAGGCGCGAAAGCGUGGGGAGCAAACGGG